AGUGAACGCUGGCGGUAGGCCUAACACAUGCAAGUCGAACGGACGCACAGUAAGAGCUUGCUCUUACGGGUGGCGAGUGGCGGACGGGUGAGGAAUACAUCGGAAUCUACUUUUUCGUGGGGGAUAACGUAGGGAAACUUACGCUAAUACCGCAUACGACCUACGGGUGAAAGCAGGGGAUCUUCGGACCUUGCGCGAUUGAAUGAGCCGAUGUCGGAUUAGCUAGUUGGCGAGGUAAAGGCCCACCAAGGCGACGAUCCGUAGCUGAUCUGAGAGGAUGAUCAGCCACACUGGAACUGAGACACGGUCCAGACUCCUACGGGAGGCAGCAGUGGGGAAUAUUGGACAAUGGGCGCAAGCCUGAUCCAGCCAUACCGCGUGAGUGAAGAAGGCCUUCGGGUUGUAAAGCCCUGUUGUUGGGAAAGAAAAGCAGCAGGUUAAUACCCCGCUGUUCUGACGGUACCCAAAGAAUAAGCACCGGCUAACUUCGUG
Molecule: ribosomal RNA, 492 nt
Filed under: uncultured bacterium
Lineage: Bacteria
Description: partial 16S ribosomal RNA
Rfam family: Bacterial small subunit ribosomal RNA
Source: RNAcentral